CCUACGUGAUGCUGCAGUGAGGAAUAUUGGUCAAUGGACGCAAGUCUGAACCAGCCAUGCCGCGUGCAGGAAGACGGCUCUAUGAGUUGUAAACUGCUUUUGUACGAGGGUAAACGCAGAUACGCGUAUCUGUCUGAAAGUAUCGUACGAAUAAGGAUCGGCUAACUCCGUGCCAGCAGCCGCGGUAAUACGGAGGAUUCAAGCGUUAUCCGGAUGUAUUGGGUUUAAAGGGUGCGUAGGCGGUCGGAUAAGUUAGAGGUGAAAUCCCGAGGCUCAACUUCGGAAUUGCAUCUGAUACUGUUCGGCUAGAGAGUAGUUGCGGUAGGCGGAAUGUAUGGUGUAGCGGUGAAAUGCUUAGAGAUCAUACAGAACACCGAUUGCGAAGGCAGCUUACCAAGCUACUUCUGACGUUGAGGCACGAAAGCGUGGGGAGCAAACAGGAUUAGAUACCCCAGUAGUC
Molecule: ribosomal RNA, 460 nt
Filed under: uncultured bacterium
Lineage: Bacteria
Description: partial 16S ribosomal RNA
Rfam family: Bacterial small subunit ribosomal RNA
Source: RNAcentral